This 1346-nucleotide ribosomal RNA is filed under the name uncultured bacterium. RNAcentral describes it as "bacterial SSU rRNA". It matches the Rfam family "Bacterial small subunit ribosomal RNA", at positions 28 to 1381 of the family's 1533-position model. The record is from RNAcentral.
GACGAACGCUGGCGGCGUGCUUAACACAUGCAUGUCGAACGGAAAGGCCCUGCUUUUGUGGGGUGCUCGAGUGGCGAACGGGUGAAUAACACGUGAGUAACCUGCCCUUGACUUUGGGAUAACUUCAGGAAACUGGGGCUAAUACCGGAUAGGAGCUCCUGCUGCAUGGUGGGGGUUGGAAAGUUUCGGCGGUUGGGGAUGGACUCGCGGCUUAUCAGCUUGUUGGUGGGGUAGUGGCUUACCAAGGCUUUGACGGGUAGCCGGCCUGAGAGGGUGACCGGCCACAUUGGGACUGAGAUACGGCCCAGACUCCUACGGGAGGCAGCAGUGGGGAAUAUUGCACAAUGGGCGGAAGCCUGAUGCAGCAACGCCGCGUGCGGGAUGACGGCCUUCGGGUUGUAAACCGCUUUCGCCUGUGACGAAGCGUGAGUGACGGUAAUGGGUAAAGAAGCACCGGCUAACUACGUGCCAGCAGCCGCGGUGAUACGUAGGGUGCGAGCGUUGUCCGGAUUUAUUGGGCGUAAAGGGCUCGUAGGUGGUUGAUCGCGUCGGAAGUGUAAUCUUGGGGCUUAACCCUGAGCGUGCUUUCGAUACGGGUUGACUUGAGGAAGGUAGGGGAGAAUGGAAUUCCUGGUGGAGCGGUGGAAUGCGCAGAUAUCAGGAGGAACACCAGUGGCGAAGGCGGUUCUCUGGGCCUUUCCUGACGCUGAGGAGCGAAAGCGUGGGGAGCGAACAGGCUUAGAUACCCUGGUAGUCCACGCUGUAAACGGUGGGUACUAGGUGUGGGGUCCAUUCCACGGGUUCCGUGCCGUAGCUAACGCUUUAAGUACCCCGCCUGGGGAGUACGGCCGCAAGGCUAAAACUCAAAGGAAUUGACGGGGCCCCGCACAAGCGGCGGAGCAUGCGGAUUAAUUCGAUGCAACGCGUAGAACCUUACCUGGGUUUGACAUGGAUCGGGAGUGCUCAGAGAUGGGUGUGCCUCUUUUGGGGUCGGUUCACAGGUGGUGCAUGCCUGUUGUCAGCUCGUGUCGUGAGAUGUUGGGUUAAGUCCCGCAACGAGCGCAACCCUUGUUCACUGUUGCCAGCACGUUAUGGUGGGGACUCAGUGGAGACCGCCGGGGUCAACUCGGAGGAAGGUGGGGAUGACGUCAAGUCCUCAUGCCCCUUAUGUCCAGGGCUUCACGCAUGCUACAAUGGCUGGUACAGAGAGUGGCGAGCCUGUGAGGGUGAGCGAAUCUCGGAAAGCCGGUCUCAGUUCGGAUUGGGGUCUGCAACUCGACCUCAUGAAGUCGGAGUCGCUAGUAAUCGCAGAUCAGCAACGCUGCGGCGAAUACGUUCCCGGGGCU